GAUGAAGAACGUAGCGAAAUGCGAUAAGUAGUGUGAAUUGCAGAAUUCAGUGAAUCAUCGAAUCUUUGAACGCACAUUGCGCCCUUUGGUAUUCCUUAGGGCAUGCCUGUUCGAGCGUCAUUUAAACCUUCAAGCUCAGCUUGGUGUUGGGUGACUGUCCGCUUCACCGCGGACUCGCCUCAAAAUUAUUGGCGGCCGGUACAUUGGCUCUCGAGCGCAGCAGAAACGCGUAACUCGAGGUCCUCGUGCUGGCUCCCAGAAGCUAUCUUCGCAAUUUUGACCUCGGAUCAGGUAGGGAUACCCUCUGAACUUAAGCAUAUCAAUAAGCGGAGGA
This 334-nucleotide unclassified non-coding RNA is filed under the name soil metagenome. RNAcentral's name for it is "partial contains 5.8S ribosomal RNA, internal transcribed spacer 2, and large subunit ribosomal RNA". The stretch from base 1 to 120 matches the Rfam family "5.8S ribosomal RNA", at positions 35 to 154 of the family's 154-position model. The record is from RNAcentral.